RNAcentral lists this ribosomal RNA (120 nucleotides) under Enterococcus casseliflavus. RNAcentral's name for it is "16S rRNA. Bacterial SSU". It matches the Rfam family "Bacterial small subunit ribosomal RNA", at positions 1 to 103 of the family's 1533-position model. The record is from RNAcentral. Lineage: Bacteria; Bacillati; Bacillota; Bacilli; Lactobacillales; Enterococcaceae.
AUCAUUAUGAGAGUUUGAUCCUGGCUCAGGACGAACGCUGGCGGCGUGCCUAAUACAUGCAAGUCGAACGCUUUUUCUUUCACCGGAGCUUGCUCCACCGAAAGAAAAAGAGUGGCGAAC